UACAGAGGGUGCGAGCGUUAAUCGGAAUUACUGGGCGUAAAGGGUGCGUAGGUGGUUACUUAAGUUAGGUGUGAAAGUCCUGGGCUUAACCUGGGGAUUGCGCCUGAUACUGAAUAGCUAGAGUAUUGUAGAGGAAAGCGGAAUUUCCGGUGUAGCGGUGAAAUGCGUAGAUAUCGGAAGGAACAUCGGUGGCGAAGGCGGCUUUCUGGACAAAUACUGACACUGAGGCACGAAAGCGUGGGGAGCAAACAGGAUUAGAUACCCUGGUAGU
RNAcentral lists this ribosomal RNA (271 nucleotides) under uncultured bacterium. Its description in RNAcentral is "partial 16S ribosomal RNA". It matches the Rfam family "Bacterial small subunit ribosomal RNA", at positions 524 to 794 of the family's 1533-position model. The record is from RNAcentral.